CAGUCGAACGAUGAACCUCCUUCGGGAGGGGAUUAGUGGCGAACGGGUGAGUAACACGUGGGCAAUCUGCCCUGCACUCUGGGACAAGCCCUGGAAACGGGGUCUAAUACCGGAUAUGAGCUUCCACCGCAUGGUGGGGGCUGUAAAGCUCCGGCGGUGCAGGAUGAGCCCGCGGCCUAUCAGCUUGUUGGUGAGGUAACGGCUCACCAAGGCGACGACGGGUAGCCGGCCUGAGAGGGCGACCGGCCACACUGGGACUGAGACACGGCCCAGACUCCUACGGGAGGCAGCAGUGGGGAAUAUUGCACAAUGGGCGCAAGCCUGAUGCAGCGACGCCGCGUGAGGGAUGACGGCCUUCGGGUUGUAAACCUCUUUCAGCAGGGAAGAAGCGAGAGUGACGGUACCUGCAGAAGAAGCGCCGGCUAACUACGUGCCAGCAGCCGCGGUAAUACGUAGGGCGCAAGCGUUGUCCGGAAUUAUUGGGCGUAAAGAGCUCGUAGGCGGCUUGUCACGUCGGAUGUGAAAGCCCGGGGCUUAACCCCGGGUCUGCAUUCGAUACGGGCAGGCUAGAGUUCGGUAGGGGAGAUCGGAAUUCCUGGUGUAGCGGUGAAAUGCGCAGAUAUCAGGAGGAACACCGGUGGCGAAGGCGGA
Molecule: ribosomal RNA, 651 nt
Filed under: Streptomyces nogalater
Lineage: Bacteria; Bacillati; Actinomycetota; Actinomycetes; Kitasatosporales; Streptomycetaceae
Description: bacterial SSU rRNA
Rfam family: Bacterial small subunit ribosomal RNA
Source: RNAcentral